CUGCUUUGCACGCAGGAGGUCAGCGGUUCGAUCCCGCUAGGCUCCACCAACGUGUUCUUUGAAAACUAGAUAACAGUAGACAUCACAUUCAAUUAGUAAUACAAGAUAUCACAUAGUGGUUCUUUUUAACGGUUAAGUUAGAAAGGGCGCACGGUGGAUGCCUUGGCACUAGGAGCCGAUGAAGGACGGGACUAACACCGAUAUGC
RNAcentral lists this ribosomal RNA (206 nucleotides) under Bacillus subtilis. RNAcentral's name for it is "partial 23S ribosomal RNA". The stretch from base 131 to 206 matches the Rfam family "Bacterial large subunit ribosomal RNA", at positions 1 to 76 of the family's 2925-position model. Lineage: Bacteria; Bacillati; Bacillota; Bacilli; Caryophanales; Bacillaceae. The record is from RNAcentral.